CAACGAGCUCCACGUUUAGAAGAAGACUAUUUCGAAAGACGAUCUAGACAUUUCCUGUUUCGUUCUCAUUACAGGCAACUGACUUAUUUUCAUUUCAACAACAAGCGUUUGGAACAUUUAUAACCCAUGGUCCGACAGGAGUGCCAUUUCAUCUACAGAUUGUACACGUGUUAUAUGUAUGCCGAUAUAUUGCCAACUAGCGGUCUUCAACAAGGAAAGGUUUCACAGUUUUACAAUUCCAUCCAACUUUCUCAGUUUCACAAUCCUUGAACAAAAAAUAAUUAUUGUUGCAAGUUGAGAAGCUAUCUGUGGAAUGAGAGAGAAGGAUUCACUCCCUUCUUGGAAACCUUUCUUAUUUGGAGGCAUCGCUUCCCUAACUGGAGAGUUUGGUAUGUAUUUCUUUUAACUUUAUAUUGUGUUAUCUAAGGAGCUUGCUUUGGUUGUUACAUUGUCAGAAAUGUUGGGAAGUGAUCUUGUUUCACUUUUGAAAUUCUACUGUGCCAAGACAAAUUGCCUUCUAAAAACAUUUUUCAUCAGACGAAAUGUAUGUUGUUGAAUUGUACAAAAAUGUUGUAUUGAAUUGUACGAUACUCUUCAAAAA
Long non-coding RNA from Saccoglossus kowalevskii, 601 nucleotides. Lineage: Eukaryota; Metazoa; Hemichordata; Enteropneusta; Harrimaniidae. The record is from RefSeq and is a predicted model, not a curated record.